Non-coding RNA from Paramormyrops kingsleyae, 935 nucleotides. The record is from RefSeq and is a predicted model, not a curated record. NCBI's taxonomy places the organism in Eukaryota, Metazoa, Chordata, Actinopteri, Osteoglossiformes, Mormyridae.
CAAGCCACCACUGCCCACUGUUUUCUAUAUCUAUGCACAGUCUCAGGUUAUUAUCGGCUGGGCUGCCCCCCGGCUGUGGUUGUGCAACAUUUCCUUACGGUUUCUUUUCUGUUCAUCAGUUUGUUUUUUGUUUUGCUUUUACUUUUUUGAGGGAGUCACAGAGGUUUAGUUUCCUUAUCUGGUCAUUCAGAAAUACAAGUGACUGUCUCAAGCGCUUGUACAUCAGCUUGAACAGUCAUGAUUCUGGAACUGAAAACCCCCAAAGUGCAGAAGUACGAGAGUCUCCUCUGCCGCAGAGGAAGAUGUGAAAAAGGAAAAAGGAAGUCAUCGAUGUUUUAAAGCUUUGAGAGACGCUCACUGUGCACACUGGACACAGUCCGUGUGUCACUGUUAUACAAUGGCAGUGCAUGGCCACUGUAUGCCGGCAUUAUUGUUAAUUCUGUUUCACAUUAUGCCAGUUGCUGUGAGCUCUAAGAUGAUCACUGGAUUUGUUGGGUAUAACGUGACCCUGCCGUGCUCCUACGAUGCACGGUAUUACGGGGGACUUCAUGUGUGCUGGGGGAGAGGUGAAAUACCUCAAUUUGGCUGUGACAAGGAAAUCUUCACAACAGUUGGAUUAUAUGGAGUUCUAUGGAGAAAAUCACACAGGUAUCAGUUAAUCGGUGACCAGAAACAGGGUGACGUAUCUCUGACCAUCAUCAGUGCUGAGAUGGGAGAUUCUGGGAUAUACGGCUGUCGUGUGGAAAUACCAGGACCAUUUAAUGAUCUGAAAACCCAAGUUACCUUGACUAUGCAGAAUAUUCAUAACAUGACUGCAUCACCAUCCAGUACAGCCAGCCCAGAGACACAGACUGUGAUCAGUGUUACGUCGGGUUACUAUGGUAAUUAUUCUACAGGAAGUUCCACUGCAAACACACCUCAAGGCAGUGGUCAUG